UCAUUAUUGAAAUAAACCUGAUAGAUUGUUGCUGGUUCUUUAAUGAACAUGUGCACAUCUGUCAUCUUUAUAUCUCCACCUGUGCACCUUUUGUAGACCUAGACAAGCUUCUUAAUCUAGCAUUAAGGUUUUGGGAUUGACUUAUUGUCUUUCCUUAUAUUUCUGGGUCUAUGUUCAUUCAAAUACCCUAAUGUAUGUUAUAGAAUGUAAUAAGUGGGCCUUUGUGUGCCUAUAACAAUAUACAACUUUCAGCAACGGAUCUCUUGGCUCUCGCAUCGAUGAAGAACGCAGCGAAAUGCGAUAAGUAAUGUGAAUUGCAGAAUUCAGUGAAUCAUCGAAUCUUUGAACGCACCUUGCGCUCCUUGGUAUUCCGAGGAGCAUGCCUGUUUGAGUGUCAUUAAUAUAUCAACCUCUUCAGCUUUUGCUUGUUGAGUGCUGGAUGUGGGGGUUUUUUUUGCUGGCCUUUUUUCUUUUUAAAGAAGUCAGCUCCCCUAAAAUAUAUUAGCGGAACAAUUUGUUGACCGUUCAUUGGUGUGAUAAUUAUCUACGCUAUUAACGUGAAACAGUUCAGCUUCUAACAGUCCAUUGACUUGGACAGUUUUUCAUUAAUGUGACCUCAAAUCAGGUAGGACUACCCGCUGAACUUAAGCAUAUCAAUAAGCGGAGGAAAAGAAACUAACAAGGAUUCCCCUAGUAACUGCGAGUGAAGCGGGAAAAGCUCAAAUUUAAAAUCUGUCAGUCUUUGGCUGUCCGAGUUGUAAUCU
This 764-nucleotide ribosomal RNA is filed under the name Cortinarius sp. 1 SGT-2012. RNAcentral describes it as "eukaryotic LSU rRNA". The stretch from base 244 to 397 matches the Rfam family "5.8S ribosomal RNA". Lineage: Eukaryota; Fungi; Basidiomycota; Agaricomycetes; Agaricales; Cortinariaceae. The record is from RNAcentral.